Molecule: long non-coding RNA, 393 nt
Organism: Daktulosphaira vitifoliae (grape phylloxera)
Lineage: Eukaryota; Metazoa; Arthropoda; Insecta; Hemiptera; Phylloxeridae
Exons: 2
Source: RefSeq, a predicted model, not a curated record
UUUCAUGAAUUACUCGUUUAUGACUUAAAAUAUAACUAUAUUGUAGUUUAAUCCUUGAUUUGAUGAAAAAAUGACUUCAACAUUUGAAACUCAUGCCCCCAACAAACAUGUAAGUCGUAUAUAAAAACACCUGUUUUUUUAUUGAGUUAACCUUGAAAUACUUUACCUGUAUGUCCAUUAUCUGUUAAAUAACAACAGGAUCGCUGUUUUGUUGUUUGAGUUUGGUUGCCGCGUAACCCAUUUGCUAUGUUUUGUGAUAAUAGAAUUAACAAUAAUAAAUAUUAACAUCCAGGUUUAUUUAUUUAUUGUUUUUAUUAGAUGAGACUUGUUACAUCUAAUGGCUACUGAACGAACUAAGUCGAAAAUUGGGCGUUGGGUGGAUGAAACCGUUAA